CUCGAUUCUGGCCUGCACUGAACGCUGGCGGGCUUUUUACACAGCGCAAGUCGAACGGCACGGACUUUUAUUCAGCAGAGUGGCGAACGGGUGAGUAAUGUAUCGGAACGUGCCUAGUAGCGGGGGUAACUACGCGAGCGCAGCUAAUACCGCAUACGCCCUUCGGGGGAAAGCGGGGGGACCUUCGGGCCUCGCACUAUUAGAGCGGCCGAUAUCGGAUUAGCUAGCAGUGGUAACGGCUCACUCGGCGACGAUCCGUAGCUGGUUUGAGAGGACGACCAGCCACACUGGGACUGAGACACGGCCCAGACUCCUACGCCGGAGGCAGCAGGUGGGGAAUUUUGACAAUGGGGAAACCUGAUCCAGCCAUCCCGCGUGUGCGAUGAAGGCCUUCGGGGUUGUAAAGCACUUUUGGCAGGGAAAAAGAAAACGGCACGGGAUAAUACCCCGUGCAACUGACGGUACCUGCAGAAUGGCACCGAUAACUACGCCAGCAGCCGCGGUAAUACGUAGGUGCAAGCGUUAACGGAAUUACUGGGCGUAAAGCGUGCGCAGGCGGUUCGGAAAGAAAGAUGUGGAAUCCCAGAGCUUAACUUUGGAACUGCAUUUUUAACUACCGAGCUAGAGUGUGUCAGAGGGAGGUGGAAUUCGUUGGCAAAGAAAUGCGUAGAUAUGCGGAGGAACACCGAUGGCGAAGGCAGCCUCCUGGGAUAACACUGACGCUCAUGCACGAAAGCGUGGGGAGCAAACAGGAUUAGAUACCCUGGUAGUCCACGCCCUAAAACGAUGUCAACUAGCUGUUGGGGCCUUCGGGCUCGGUAGCGCAGUCAACGCGCAAGUUGACCGCCUGGGGAGUACGGUCGCAAGAUUAAAACUCAAAGGAAUUGACGGGGACCCGCACAAGCGGUGGAUGAUGAUGUGGAUUAAUUCGAUGCAACGCGAAAACCUUACUCUUACCCUUGAUGCUGGAAUCCCGAAGAGAUUUGGGAGUGCUCGCAAGAGAACCGGAACACAGGUGCUGCAUGGCUGUCGUCAGCUCGUGUCGUGAGAUGUUGGGUUAAGUCCCGCAACGAGCGCAACCCUUGUCAUUAGUUGCUACGAAAGGGCACUCUAAUGAGACUGCCGGUGACAAACCGAGGAAGGUGGGAUGACGUCAAGUCCUCAUGGCCUCGCGGGCAGGGUCGGCACGUCAGCACAGUUGUCGGCACAGAUAGUCGCCAACCCGCGCGAGAGGGGGAGCCAAUCCCAGAAACCCGAUCGUAGGGUCCGGAUCGCAGUCUGCAACCUGACUGCGUGAAGUCGGAAUCAAUCGCGGAUCAGCAUGUCGCGGUGAAUACGUUCCCGGCACCAUACACGCCGCCCGUCACACCAUGGAGUGGGUUUUACCAGAAGUAGUUAGCCUAACCGUAAGGAGGGCGAUUACCACGGUAGGAUUCAUGACUGGGGUGAAGUCAACAAGGUAG
RNAcentral lists this ribosomal RNA (1463 nucleotides) under uncultured Bordetella sp. Its description in RNAcentral is "partial 16S-23S ribosomal RNA intergenic spacer". It matches the Rfam family "Bacterial small subunit ribosomal RNA". The record is from RNAcentral. Lineage: Bacteria; Pseudomonadati; Pseudomonadota; Betaproteobacteria; Burkholderiales; Alcaligenaceae.